Molecule: ribosomal RNA, 482 nt
Filed under: uncultured bacterium
Lineage: Bacteria
Description: partial 16S ribosomal RNA
Rfam family: Bacterial small subunit ribosomal RNA
Source: RNAcentral
AUUGAACGCUGGCGGCAUGCUUUACACAUGCAAGUCGAACGGUAACAGGCCGCAAGGUGCUGACGAGUGGCGAACGGGUGAGUAAUGCAUCGGAACGUGCCCAGUCGUGGGGGAUAACUACUCGAAAGAGUAGCUAAUACCGCAUACGAUCUAUGGAUGAAAGCGGGGGACCGUAAGGCCUCGCGCGAUUGGAGCGGCCGAUGUCAGAUUAGGUAGUUGGUGGGGUAAAGGCUCACCAAGCCCACGAUCUGUAGCUGGUCUGAGAGGACGACCAGCGACACGGGGACUGAGACACGGCCCAGACUCCUACGGGAGGCAGCAGUGGGGAAUUUUGGACAAUGGGCGCAAGCCUGAUCCAGCAAUGCCGCGUGCAGGAAGAAGGCCUUCGGGUUGUAAACUGCUUUUGUACGGAACGAAACGGCUCUGGUUAAUACCCGGGGCUAAUGACGGUACCGGAAGAAUAAGCACCGGCUAACUACGUG